GCCGGGCGUGGUGGCGGGCGCCUGUAGUCCCAGCUACUCGGGAGGCUGAGGCAGGAGAAUGGCGUGAACUCAGGAGGCGGAGCUUGCAGUGAGCUGAGAUCCGGCCACUGCACUCCAGCCUGGGUGACAAAGCGAGACUCUGCCUCAA
Molecule: small RNA, 148 nt
Filed under: Macaca mulatta (Rhesus monkey)
Lineage: Eukaryota; Metazoa; Chordata; Mammalia; Primates; Cercopithecidae
Description: Metazoan signal recognition particle RNA (ENSMMUG00000053425.1)
Source: Rfam by way of RNAcentral